UACGGAGGAUGCAAGCGUUAUCCGGAAUGAUUGGGCGUAAAGCGUCCGCAGGUGGCUGUGUAAGUCUGCUGUUAAAGAGUCUAGCUCAACUAGAUACAAGCAGUGGAAACUACACGGCUAGAGUACGUUCGGGGCAGAGGGAAUUCCUGGUGUAGCGGUGAAAUGCGUAGAGAUUAGGAAGAACACCGGUGGCGAAGGCGCUCUGCUAGGCCGUAACUGACACUGAGGGACGAAAGCUAGGGGAGCGAAUGGG
This 253-nucleotide ribosomal RNA is filed under the name uncultured bacterium. RNAcentral's name for it is "partial 16S ribosomal RNA". It matches the Rfam family "Bacterial small subunit ribosomal RNA", at positions 524 to 776 of the family's 1533-position model. The record is from RNAcentral.